GACGUAGGGCGCGAGCGUUGUCCGGAUUUAUUGGGCGUAAAGAGCUCGUAGGCGGCUUGUCGCGUCGUCCGUGAAGACUUGGGGCUCAACCCCAAGCUUGCGGUCGAUACGGGCAGGCUAGAGUUCGGUAGGGGAGACUGGAAUUCCUGGUGUAGCGGUGAAAUGCGCAGAUAUCAGGAGGAACACCGGUGGCGAAGGCGGGUCUCUGGGCCGAUACUGACGCUGAGGAGCGAAAGCGUGGGGAGCGAACAGG
This 253-nucleotide ribosomal RNA is filed under the name uncultured bacterium. RNAcentral describes it as "partial 16S ribosomal RNA". It matches the Rfam family "Bacterial small subunit ribosomal RNA", at positions 524 to 776 of the family's 1533-position model. The record is from RNAcentral.